Molecule: ribosomal RNA, 367 nt
Filed under: Mastus sp. 2-AP-2004
Lineage: Eukaryota; Metazoa; Mollusca; Gastropoda; Stylommatophora; Enidae
Description: partial 16S ribosomal RNA
Rfam family: Bacterial large subunit ribosomal RNA
Source: RNAcentral
UCUUUAACGGCCGCAGUACACUGACUGUGCUAAGGUAGCAUAAUAAUUUGUCUUUUAAUUGAAGACUGGUAUGAAAGGCAUCAUGGAGAUAAGCUGUCUUUUAAGAAAUUUUUAAAAUUUACUAAAAAGGUGAAAAUUCCUUUAGAGUGUUCAAUAAGACGAGAAGACCCUUAGAAUUAUCACGAUAACUCAUUUAGGAGGGAAGUUUUUGUUGGGGCAACAUUUUCAAAUUUAGAACUGAAGAUUUUUAAAAUUGCUAAAUAAGACCAUAAUGUUAAAUAGGAAUUUAAUUACCUAAGGGAUAACAGCGUAAUUCAUUUAUGAGAGUAUGACCUCGAUGUUGGACUAGGGACUUUUUGCGCUAGAC